UGUGGCAGCCAAGCGUUCA
This 19-nucleotide small nuclear RNA is filed under the name Arabidopsis thaliana (thale cress). RNAcentral describes it as "snRNA_01176". Lineage: Eukaryota; Viridiplantae; Streptophyta; Magnoliopsida; Brassicales; Brassicaceae. The record is from RNAcentral.